CUACGUGCCAGCAGCCGCGGUAAUACGUAGGUCCCGAGCGUUGUCCGGAUUUAUUGGGCGUAAAGCGAGCGCAGGCGGUUAGAUAAGUCUGAAGUUAAAGGCUGUGGCUUAACCAUAGUACGCUUUGGAAACUGUUUAACUUGAGUGCAAGAGGGGAGAGUGGAAUUCCAUGUGUAGCGGUGAAAUGCGUAGAUAUAUGGAGGAACACCGGUGGCGAAAGCGGCUCUCUGGCUUGUAACUGACGCUGAGGCUCGAAAGCGUGGGGAGCAAACAGGAUUAGAUACCCUGGUAGUCCGCGCCCUAAACGAUGUCAAUUAGCUGUUGGGCAACUUGAUUGCUUAGUAGCGUAGCUAACGCGUGAAAUUGACCGCCUGGGGAGUACGGUCGCAAGAUUAAAACUCAAAGGAAUUGACGGGGACCCGCACAAGCGGUGGAUGAUGUGGAUUAAUUCGAUGCAACGCGAAGAACCUUACCUGGUCUUGACAU
This 486-nucleotide ribosomal RNA is filed under the name uncultured bacterium. RNAcentral describes it as "bacterial SSU rRNA". It matches the Rfam family "Bacterial small subunit ribosomal RNA", at positions 501 to 987 of the family's 1533-position model. The record is from RNAcentral.